This 875-nucleotide ribosomal RNA is filed under the name Marssonina panattoniana. Its description in RNAcentral is "LSU rRNA". It matches the Rfam family "Eukaryotic large subunit ribosomal RNA", at positions 74 to 966 of the family's 3401-position model. Lineage: Eukaryota; Fungi; Ascomycota; Leotiomycetes; Helotiales; Dermateaceae. The record is from RNAcentral.
AUUGCCUCAGUAACGGCGAGUGAAGCGGCAAAAGCUCAAAUUUGAAAUCUGGCUCUUUUAGGGUCCGAGUUGUAAUUUGUAGAAGAUGUUUCGGGUGUGGCUCCGGUUUAAGUUCUUUGGAAUAUUACAUCAUAGAGGGUGAGAAUCCCGUAUGUGACCGGCAGCCUUCGCCUAUGUGAAACUCUUUCGACGAGUCGAGUUGUUUGGGAAUGCAGCUCAAAAUGGGAGGUAUAUUUCUUCUAAAGCUAAAUAUUGGCCAGAGACCGAUAGCGCACAAGUAGAGUGAUCGAAAGAUGAAAAGCACUUUGGAAAGAGAGUUAAACAGUACGUGAAAUUGUUGAAAGGGAAGCGCUUGCAACCAGACUUGCACGCAGUUGAUCAUCCGGUGUUCUCACCGGGGCACUCUGCUGCGUUCAGGCCAGCAUCGGUUUUGGUGGUUGGAUAAAGGCCUUGGGAAUGUGGCUUCCUUCGGGGAGUGUUAUAGCCCUCGGUGCAAUGCAGCCUACCGGGACCGAGGACCGCGCUUCGGCUAGGAUGCUGGCGUAAUGGUUGUAAGCGACCCGUCUUGAAACACGGACCAAGGAGUCUAACAUCUAUGCGAGUGUUUGGGUGUUAAACCCAUACGCGUAAUGAAAGUGAACGGAGGUGAGAACCCUUAAGGGUGCAUCAUCGACCGGUCCUGAUGUCUUCGGAUGGAUCUGAGUAAGAGCAUAGCUGUUGGGACCCGAAAGAUGGUGAACUAUGCGUGAAUAGGGUGAAGCCAGAGGAAACUCUGGUGGAGGCUCGCAGCGGUUCUGACGUGCAAAUCGAUCGUCAAAUUUGCGCAUAGGGGCGAAAGACUUAUCGAACCAUCUAGUAGCUGGUUCCUGCCGAAG